Molecule: long non-coding RNA, 380 nt
Organism: Gallus gallus (chicken)
Lineage: Eukaryota; Metazoa; Chordata; Aves; Galliformes; Phasianidae
Source: Ensembl
GUUUGUGUCAGCUGUCUUGUCUGUGUCCCCUGCCAGCUCCGUGUUCCUUGCUGUCAGGCCAGCAGGAGAAGCUGAAAUGUCCUUGGUUCCAGGGAAAUAAACUGCUAGAAAAUCACAGAGGAUCUCAUGGUGUCAUAACAAAUGCAAUAACAAGUCAGUCUUUGUGGACAGAGUUGAGGUUGACUGGCCUAUAGUUUCCUGAAUCCUCCUUCUUGCCCUUUUUGAAGAUUGGAUUGACACUGGCUAUCCUCCAGUCUUCAAGCACCUCUCCUGUUCACCAAGACUUUACAAAGAUUUUCAGCAACCACCUCUGCCAGCUCCCUCAGCACACAUGGGUGAAUCCCAUUGGGGUCCAUGGACUCAUAUGCAUUGAUUUUGAC